Macaca mulatta (Rhesus monkey) is the source of this 150-nucleotide unclassified non-coding RNA. It matches the Rfam family "Metazoan signal recognition particle RNA". Rfam says of the family: The signal recognition particle (SRP) is a universally conserved ribonucleoprotein. NCBI's taxonomy places the organism in Eukaryota, Metazoa, Chordata, Mammalia, Primates, Cercopithecidae. The record is from Ensembl.
GCCAGGUGUGGUUUUGCGCACCUGUAGUCCUAGCUACUUGGGAGGCUGAGGUGGGAGAAUCGCUUGAGCCUGGGAGUUCCAGGCUGCAGUGAGCUGUGACUGUACCUCUCCACACUCCAGCCUGGGCAACAGAGUGAGACCCUGCCUCUU